GAGCACGUAGGUGGGUUUGUAAGUCAGAUGUGAAAACUGGGGGCUCAACCCGCAGCCUGCAUCUGAAACUGCAAGACUUGAGUCUGGUAGAGGAAAGUGGAAUUCCUAGUGUAGCGGUGAAAUGCGCAGAUAUUGGGAGGAACACCAGUGGCGAAGGCGGCUUUCUGGGCCACGACUGACGCUGAGUGCGCGAAAGCUAGGGGAGCAAACAGGAUUAGAUACCCUGGUAGUCCUAGCCGUAAACGAUGGGCACUAAGUAGAGGGGUUUU
This 269-nucleotide ribosomal RNA is filed under the name uncultured anaerobic ammonium-oxidizing bacterium. RNAcentral's name for it is "partial 16S ribosomal RNA". It matches the Rfam family "Bacterial small subunit ribosomal RNA", at positions 565 to 832 of the family's 1533-position model. The record is from RNAcentral.